CCCUCGAACGUAUCAUGUUGCGGUGUCGCGGAAGAGAGAGAGAUAGUCGUCAAGUAUUCCGAGCGCAUCGUCUUCCAAGAUUUACGCCAAACUCACAAUCAGCCCUCGAGCAAAGCUACUAACAAAUAGAUGUGCGCGUGAAAUGUGAAGUAACUCUUAUUCGAAUGAAUGUAUGUACGUCGGGGAACAAGAUUCUGUUCAAACGUGUAAUACGUGCGCAUUAAGUAUCAAUUAGACGUAUUGAAAAAUUAAACACAUUGUUAAUCACAUUAAUUUGCAAUCACAUAUACUUUGUCAAUAUAGGAAAGUCUCGUUUUAAUAUAGAGUGAUCCUAUUAGCUAAUAAUGCCCAAGUGAAAGAACAGUAGCAGGAACUAACAUUAGACAGUAAAAAGAAAGGGAAACGAACAGUGUCGUCAUUCCUUUACGAACUGGAGUAAAAAGAAGGAAACAAUGAAGAAAGGAAAAAAUUGCUGUGUAAACAAUGGGAAAGCUUAAUGGAUUUCAUCCUCGGCAAUAAGGAAACUUCGAGUGCAAUUAAUGUGUUACCCUGAGAAGAGGUCCCACAAGUUUUCACCGAGACGAACUCGAAGAAGCGAGAGGAAGGACAACGUUUCCGUCUUUCCUUCAUUUACGAAUUAAUUAAACGUCACGGCAUCAGGGAGGAAAUGAAACGGGCGAUGAGUCGUGGUUUUCUGAACGUGUUGGCAGCCGACCGACGAUAUUUCUGCGAAAUGUCAAGCGGUGACUGCGUGGGUCGCGCGAAAGUAUUCAGUAAUGCGUCUCGUUAAUAUCCCCGACACUAUCGAACCGUAUUAAACUUUCCAAUCAAGAAAUCACGAUAUCGCGCGACGGUGAAAUCGAAACUGUCCACGCGCAAGGUUUUCAUUAGACGUAGCGACGCGCCGAAUUCAAAUGCGAAUGAUAUUUCAAUAUUGUAGUUUAAAGAGAAACUCUUCAUAAGAAAUAAUUAAGAAAUAAUUAAGGUAAUGGUAUUUAUUUGACAAGCUUUGAAGAUUAUUGGAAAAUCACAAUUCCAGAUAAAUCAGUUGCUCAUUAAAGUAUGAAUUAAUUACUGCGGGAACGAGAAGAAGACGAUAUAAAUAAUUAUUUAAGAACGUAUUUGCAAUUGAAGUUAUUUUUUAUCGGUUUAUGUUUAUCACCAAAUAAAUUGUCAUGAUUAUCUAAUAGCAAUGACAAUUUGAAAAUAAUUUAAUAAUUGUUGAAAUAUUGUGCAAUGAAGCAAAACGUAGUAAUUAAUUGAUAAUAGGAUGAUGAUAUCAAUAGUGAGCAUGUAUGUUAAUUCAACUGAAAAUACUUUUUCGUACAAUAAACAGUUCACAAUUCCAUUAGCAUUUGCAUAGUUUGUACAAAUUUAGGUGGCAGAAUUAAACGACUCGGUACAUAUGUAUAUAUGUACGUACGUAUGCAUAUGCAUGCACACGUACGUUUAUAUGCAUACACAUUCAAUCAGCAUCGCUAGCGCCGAACAGUACAUUAGCAGCGCGAUAGUCGAAUACCAAACAUACAUAUAUCCACCUAUGACCUGUGUAGACACAUGAACCAAUAGCCAGCUAAAUGAUGUUUGACAUUACCGUGAAACGUUAGUUUGAGAGUUCAGCCAGUUCGAUCGAAUUUAACUCAGUCUCAUGGUUCCUCAUCCAGAUUCGUUCACAUCCUAAGAUAUCCCCCAAGCUUCCCGGCUUAACCCACCCCCAAUCUACUUUGACAUCUAUUCAAUAACAAUUCAACAAUUUCAUUCUUGAUUUGAAUUAACUACUUAUAUACUACAUAUUAAGUAUUAUAUAAUACAUAUUUC
Molecule: long non-coding RNA, 1818 nt
Organism: Ceratina calcarata
Lineage: Eukaryota; Metazoa; Arthropoda; Insecta; Hymenoptera; Apidae
Exons: 4
Source: RefSeq, a predicted model, not a curated record